GAUGAACGCUGGCGGCGUGCCUAAUACAUGCAUGUCGAGCGAAUGGAUUAAGAGCUUGCUCUUAUGAAGUUAGCGGCGGACGGGUGAGUAACACGUGGGUAACCUGCCCAUAAGACUGGGAUAACUCCGGGAAACCGGGGCUAAUACCGGAUAACAUUUUGAACCGCAUGGUUCGAAAUUGAAAGGCGGCUUCGGCUGUCACUUAUGGAUGGACCCGCGUCGCAUUAGCUAGUUGGUGAGGUAACGGCUCACCAAGGCAACGAUGCGUAGCCGACCUGAGAGGGGGAUCGGCCACACUGGGACUGAGACACGGCCCAGGCUCCUGAGGGAGGCAGCAGUAGGGAAUCUUCCGCAAUGGACGAAAGUCUGACGGAGCAACGCCGCGUGAGUGAUGAAGGCUUUCGGGUCGUAAAACUCUGUUGUUAGGGAAGAACAAGUGCUAGUUGAAUAAGCUGGCACCUUGACGGUACCUAACCAGAAAGCCACGGCUAACUACGUGCCAGCCGCCGCAGUAA
This 515-nucleotide ribosomal RNA is filed under the name uncultured bacterium. RNAcentral describes it as "partial 16S ribosomal RNA". It matches the Rfam family "Bacterial small subunit ribosomal RNA", at positions 28 to 523 of the family's 1533-position model. The record is from RNAcentral.